Molecule: small nuclear RNA, 194 nt
Organism: Myripristis murdjan (pinecone soldierfish)
Lineage: Eukaryota; Metazoa; Chordata; Actinopteri; Holocentriformes; Holocentridae
Gene: U2
Rfam family: U2 spliceosomal RNA
About the family: U2 is a small nuclear RNA (snRNA) component of the spliceosome (involved in pre-mRNA splicing).
Source: Ensembl
AUGGUCUUUGCACUGCCUUUUUGUCUAAGAUCAAGUGUAGUAUCUGUUCUUAUCAGUUUGAUAUCUGAUAGUCCCCCAGCCAGGGACCAUAUAUUUAAUUGAUUUUUGGAACAGGGAGAUGGAAUAGGGGCUUGCUCCCUCCACUCCACGCAUCGACCUGGUAAAAAAAAUCUGUUCUUAUCAGUUUAAUACAC